GGUCGAUUAGCUCAGUUGGUUAGAGCGUGGUGCUAAUAUCUUCUGAUAUGACAACGCCAAGGUCGCGGGUUCGACCCCCGUAUUGACCA
This is a non-coding RNA of Dendryphion nanum, 89 nucleotides long. NCBI's taxonomy places the organism in Eukaryota, Fungi, Ascomycota, Dothideomycetes, Pleosporales, Torulaceae. The record is from the annotation of a GenBank genome assembly.